RNAcentral lists this ribosomal RNA (520 nucleotides) under uncultured archaeon. Its description in RNAcentral is "bacterial SSU rRNA". It matches the Rfam family "Archaeal small subunit ribosomal RNA", at positions 348 to 875 of the family's 1478-position model. The record is from RNAcentral.
CCCCCAAAAACCAAAAGUGUGACGGGGUUACCCAAAGUGUCCUAUAAAGGACUGUGGUAGGUGAGUAAUGUUCCCUUUUAUAAAGGAGAGGGCAAGGGUGGUGCCAGCCGCCGCGGUAAAACCAGCUCUUCAAGUGGUCGGGAUAAUUAUUGGGCUUAAAGUGUCCGUAGCCGGUUUAGUAAGUUCCUGGUAAAAUCGGGUAGCUUAACUAUCCGUAUGCUAGGAAUACUGCUAUACUAGAGGGCGGGAGAGGUCUGAGGUACUACAGGGGUAGGGGUGAAAUCUUAUAAUCCUUGUAGGACCACCAGUGGCGAAGGCGUCAGACUGGAACGCGCCUGACGGUGAGGGACGAAAGCCAGGGGAGCGAACCGGAUUAGAUACCCGGGUAGUCCUGGCCGUAAACGAUGCAUACUAGGUGACGGCACGGCCAUGAGCCGUGUCGGUGCCGUAGGGAAACCGUUAAGUGUGCCGCCUGGGAAGUACGGUCGCAAGGCUAAAACUUAAAGGAAUUGGCGGGGGA